GACGAACGCUGGCGGCGUGCCUGACACAUGCAAGUCGGACGGUUCUUGUACCUUCAAGCUUGCUUGUUGGUGCAAGGAUAGUGGCGGACGGGUGAGUAACGCGUGAACAUCUACCCAUUGGAGGGGGACAACCCGUCGAAAGGCGGGCUAAUACCGCGUAAGCCGCGAGGUGAGAGGCUGCCUAUUGGUGGCCGCCGAUGGAUGGGUUCGCGUCCUAUCAGCUGGUUGGUGGGGUAACGGCCUACCAAGGCGAAGACGGGUAGCCGGUCUGAGAGGAUGGCCGGCCACACUGGAACUGAGACACGGACCAGACUCCUACGGGAGGCAGCAGUGAGGAAUAUUGGUCAAUGGGCGGAAGCCUGAACCAGCCAUGCCGCGUGCAGGAUGACGGCCCUACGGGUUGUAAACUGCUUUUCCCCGGGGCGAAUAACCCCUCGCGAGGGGAGUGCCGGUACCGGGGAACGUAAGGAUCGGCUAACUCCGUGCCAGCAGCCGCGGUAAUAGUCACGUGUA
Molecule: ribosomal RNA, 513 nt
Filed under: uncultured bacterium
Lineage: Bacteria
Description: bacterial SSU rRNA
Rfam family: Bacterial small subunit ribosomal RNA
Source: RNAcentral